CAAUCGUCAAUGUACAUGUAGAAGCAUGUGUAAACAUGAUAUUAUAUCGGAAAGAUAGUCUUUAUAGUUUCAUAAUACACAAGUUACUCGAGAAAGCUAUGAUGGAAGGCAACACUGUCCCAGAGAGAGAGAAACAGCCGCUGUUACCAAAGAAACAACACCCCCAGGCAAGACCACAGGCUCCCCAGCUGUACCGCCAACAGGUGAGAGAGACUGUGCUGGUGACAAGAGAGCCUAUAGUUGGCGUGUACACAUACAGACAGCCUAACAUUCCCACUUGGAUUGGGUCCGAAUACGUUGUCUACGCCUCAGUGCUCACUAUGCUCUUUUGUGGCAUUCUGCCAGGAGUUGUGGCUCUGCUCUUAGCAUGGGAGGCUCGUAGCAAGAGGGAGACUGGACAAAUUGAAGAGGCCAGAUCAUGGACCGUGGGGGCCAUUCUCUGCAAUGCACUUGCUUUCACACUGGGUUUGUCUGCCAUUGUGUCUAUCUCUGUGUACUACGGCUUAAAAGGACAACACAUUCAAUGAUUUGUACCAUGCACACAUAAGUAUGCAACGUGCAACAAGGACUUAUUACUACAGAAUACAUACAUAUACUGUAUACUGUAUACAACGUAAUACAUACUAAAGUUGUGUACAGUGCAGUUGUUGCUUAUAGUGCAUGCCAAAGAUUUUCUAAACAAUUACAACUACA
Molecule: long non-coding RNA, 693 nt
Organism: Halichondria panicea
Lineage: Eukaryota; Metazoa; Porifera; Demospongiae; Suberitida; Halichondriidae
Exons: 3
Source: RefSeq, a predicted model, not a curated record